CAAUGGCCAGAACAAACAGGGUACAAAGCUUCUACCAGGUGUAUGAAUCCAGGGACAGUUGCUUUGUCUCCUGUAAAGACCUCUGUAUUAAGAGCAUUAUGGAGAAGGAACCAGAUUUCUGUGCUCUACAGCAUCAUUUGACACAUCAUGCUACCUGGCCUGUUUAUGGACAACAUACAAUGAGACCGACGUCAGAAUGACUUGACCAGCUGUCUGCCUAGGUUAACGAAGCUCUGUGACCAGUUUCUCCCUAUCUGCCCUGCCUAUUUAGCCAGAUUGCCUUCUUUUUAUGAUAAAAUCUUCUAAAAGUUA
Non-coding RNA from Arvicanthis niloticus (Nile rat), 312 nucleotides. NCBI's taxonomy places the organism in Eukaryota, Metazoa, Chordata, Mammalia, Rodentia, Muridae. The record is from RefSeq and is a predicted model, not a curated record.